CAGAGGAAGUAAAAGUCGUAACAAGGUUUCCGUAGGUGAACCUGCGGAAGGAUCAUUAUCGAUUCUCGAGGGGUUGAGCUCAGUUGUGCUGGCUUUGUCGCAUGUGCACGCUGGGUUUGGCCUCCUCCUCACACACACCUGUGCACACCAUGUGGGCCUCUGAGGGCCUGCGUUUUCAUCACACCCCAACGCAUGUUUAUAGAAUGUAACCAUAUUAUCUGCCGCUUCGCGAGGAGUGGACGAUAAGAAAUAAUACAACUUUCAGCAACGGAUCUCUUGGCUCUCGCAUCGAUGAAGAACGCAGCGAAUUGCGAUAUGUAAUGUGAAUUGCAGAUUUUCAGUGAAUCAUCGAAUCUUUGAACGCACCUUGCGCUCCUUGGUAUUCCGAGGAGCAUGCCUGUUUGAGUGUCAUUAAAUUCUCAAUUCCCUUUGAUUUGUUUCGAAGGGGACUUGGAUUGUGGGGGCUUGCUGGCGACCUUUUGGCCGUCGGCUCCCCUGAAAUGCAUUGGCCGUGUACUGACGUGCAUGAAUGGCUUUUUGGCGUGAUAAUGAUCGCCGUGGUCUGAAGUGCUUUAAAUGUCUGGUGCAUGCCUACAGCCGUCGACUAGCGCGACAACUCUUGAACCUUUGACCUCAAAUCAGGUAGGACUACCCGCUGAACUUAAGCAUAUAUA
This is a ribosomal RNA of 674 nucleotides. The stretch from base 257 to 411 matches the Rfam family "5.8S ribosomal RNA".